Long non-coding RNA from Pseudopipra pipra, 393 nucleotides. RefSeq lists it as uncharacterized. The record is from RefSeq and is a predicted model, not a curated record. Lineage: Eukaryota; Metazoa; Chordata; Aves; Passeriformes; Pipridae. The transcript has 2 exons.
UUGACAACAACUGACAUUCAAACCAGGAGGGACACCUUGUCUCCUGCCCUCCCCCACCAACACAGUGCAUUGCAGCAGGGGACAAAUCUGCACUGUUUUUCCCUUGCAAGGGCUGGGACGUGCUUUGCUGUGAGAAGUUGCAGUUGGAUCCAGCCCCACACAGUACAUACUACACCCCAAAAACUUCCUUGGUAAAAUGGCAUCUGACACUGCAGCCUGAUCAAGUGAGCUAAGAAGACUGUAUCGAUACUGUGGUAAUUAUUCACCAUUUAGCUCUUCUAAUUGAGUAAUAAAUAGUCCAGGAAGCAGCAGAUAGACUUCUAGGUAAACAUGUUGAAAAAGUGGAUGCACAUUCCAGAGAAAAAUAAACUGAAGAGAAAGGUCUCUUAUUUA